GCCCUGAACGCAUCACUCCGAAACGGUGCAGGACCAUCAUCGUAAGUAUCAUAUCUCGCGUUUGUUUUCCUUUCAUUGAAGUGUUCAUUUUGCAACAAACGCUGCCUAAAUAUAGUUUACAGUUCAAACCGACCUGAAUCAUCACAGUUGUUAAGUAAAAGUAUCAAUCCAGUGUCUGUGAGGCUCAGCAGAAACACAGGACAAUCUUCGGUUGCCAGGAAACUUUAACAAAUAUAGCAAUCCAAAUAUAGCAUGUUGUUGUUGGUGUUUCCACCUUUACAUGUUAUCACUGCUCAACAAACAUUGCAUUGUUGUCCUCCUUAUAAGAAACAUUAAGAUACACAUUAGCUCGUUUCUGCCUACUCUUUGUAUCGUCCGCCAUGCUAUUUUCUCGGUCUCUGUUCCCGUUCGCGUAGACUGGCUCUCGCGAGACCAUUGUUCAAGGCACCCGGAAGACAGGAAUCAUUAAAGGAAUCGUUAAGGGAAUCCUUUGGAUAAAAUGUAAAUGAUGUAGAUGGAUUAAACCAUUUGGAACCGGUUCUCAACAUGAACUGGUUCUCAUUCCCAUCCCUAAUUUUAACUAUUUUCACGCGAACAUAACAGUUGUGAAGAUAUUUAGUAACAUGUACUUAAUUACAGCCAAGUUUGAAAGUUAUAUUUAUUUAAACAAAUUAAGUGAAGUCUACUUGAGGUUCAUAGGCAGGAACAAGUGCAUUUUAUAUCUCUGUAGUAUUUGCUGUUGUGAAAUAAUUAAGUAGAUAUUAUUUCUUUUCUUGUGCUUGACAUUUUAAUUUACUUGGUUGAUCAGAUUUCAUGAAGUGCUUUAUUGGUGACCCUCAAAGUGCUUUACAUUGGCUUUACAUUCAUUCGCUCACACAGUCACAACCUGGUGGUGGUAAACUACCUUAGUAGUCACAGCUGCCCUGGGGCAGACUGAAGGAAAUGUGGCUGCAGUUCGCAUCUACAACCUCUCCGAACGCCACCACACAACACUCACAAUCACACACUAGUAGAGGACACACACUGGGAGCAAGGUGGGUUAAGGGGUUGAACCGCCAACCCUCCAGUUAUUGGACAACCACUCCACCUCCUAAGCUACUGCCGCCCCGACCUUGCUCUGUGAACCUGCAAUAUCCGGACUCGGAGCAGAGCCAGUCCUGCUGUUUCAAAAUGCUACACUUUCAGAGUAAAGUUUAUGUAGUAUUUGUAGGUUUAUGUACAUACAACUAUUCAACAUUUAAAUACUGUAAGGAAACCUAAGUAAAACCUACUCUUCCCCCAUGAUUGAUGUAUUACGUUAAAAAAUGUUUGAUUUUUACAUAAGAAAUUCUAGUUCUUACUGACUCUAAAAAAAUACAGGGUAGAAAUUGUAACAGUUACUCUAAUAGAGUCUACUACACUAAAAAGUCACUUUUUUCCGUGUGAUAUCAGAGGGAGGGACUAUAAAGUUUGCUGACUACAGGCCAGAAUAAUUUCCUUUGACUCUGAGGGUGGUGACUGCUAUCCAGACAGUCCGGCUCUACUCCCACAAUGUUACUGGAAUCGCAGAUGAGUUUUUUUUAUUCUGUUGGCAUCUGCUACCCUCAGCCUGCUGCCUCAGCACACAACAGCAGACAGGAUCGCACAGACUGAUAGAACCUUCCCAGCGUCGUCCUGCAGAUGUUGAAAGACCUCAGCCUCCUGAGGACGUAGAGGCAGCUGAGGCCCUUCUAUUAGAGAGCUUCAUUGUUCUUAGACUAGUCCAGUUUUUUAUUCAAGCACACCCCCAGAUACUUGUAGUCAGGGCUGGGCGACAUGGGAAAAAGUUAAUCAUGAUAUAUUUUUUUAUAUCAGUCCAUAUCGAUAUAUAUCAUGAUAUAAAAAAUUAUAUUUAACAGUACUAAUUGGUAGCAUGCCUUUUUCAAUACAAUAAGCUACAGCAUCUGUGAGGUCUUUGUGUCUCUUCCAUGUUUUAUUAUAAGGCGUUGUGCUAGAAAAAGCAGACUGAAUGUCCUCCUACAGCUAUGCAAUCUUCAUACGCCAAUAGGCUGUAUUAAGUGCCAAUCAUAGAAAACAUGAACCCCCCGAUAACUUUUCAAAAUUGAGCUGCACAGAAAGUGACAAGAUCUGAUUCCACUGCCUUUUGAUUGUAGUUGCUGGAUGAAUUAUUUUGGUAGACCAGUGAAUAGACUAUUUCUGUUAUCUAGUCUGUUUUGAUAUAAAGGCAAUAACUGAUUCUUCUGUGCCUGAUUGUAAAAGAAAGCCCCUGAGUUUUUGGGAUAUUUUUGGACUGUAAAAUGAUGGAGGUGUGAUUGGAUUGAUAUAACCUUUGAAGGUUAGAUUGCUGUCUGUGACAACACCUACAUGUUGUGCUUGAUUUGAACAGGCUAAGUAAAGAGAACUGAGAUAAGUGUAAUUUUGCGUCCAUGAAUCUUUGGACCAAAAUGGAAAUUUCUGUUUUGUCUCUGUUCAGUAGUAAAAGUUACCUCUCAUCUGCACAUUAAUAUCACUGAUGCACUGAAUGGGGGAAUGAACUGGGCUUUAAUCAUCAGGUGAUAGUUGUAUGUAUUUGUAAAUCUUCAUAAUUAUGGUAACUUAUUGUUACAUGUGAAAUUGGGAGCAUGUACAGAUCAAACAGUAGUGUUUCAAUGAUCGAGCCUUGAGGAAAAUCACACAUGGCAUUCACUUUACUUGAGACAUGGUCUCUGAUGGACACAAAGUUCUGUCUGGGUAUGACCUGAACUAGCUUAAAACCGGCCCAGACAAGCUCAUCUAUUUUCUAGUCUCUGCAGUAGUAUGUUAUGAUCCACAGUGUCUCAGGCAGCAUUUAGAAGCCGGAGAACCAAAAUUUUUUUUUUUUCAGCGAUCAUUUUACGCUUUAAUAGACGUUUCUGCACUAUGAUGAGAGUGAAAACCUGACUCAUACAUGUGUAAUUGGUUGUUUGUCACGGCAAGUGGGUGUUUUUUCAAGUAUUUGAGGGAUUUGAUAUGAUCAUGUUCACGUUACCCCAAUUUUGUCCAUAUUAUUUGAUGUCUUGUGUUUCCUGUUAGUUUUACUUUGUUAUCACUAACCCUCGUCUCUGUCUUUUAGAUAUGUUCCUUCUUGUCUGGUCUGCUCUCCCCUGUCUUGUCACACCUGCCUCCUGAUUGGUCAUCCCCACCUGUUUCCCAUCACCCUUAUUACCUCUUGUAUUAUGUCUCUCACUGUCUCGUUGCCAGUUUGUUGAUCCUCAUUGUCAGGUACCAGCAUUCUUGUUUUUUCAUAACCUGCCUGUUAUUGACUUUGAUUUAGAUACCUCUGCCCGUUUGUAGCUUUUUCAUGUACCGUACUUAGACUGUGAAUAAACCCUGUCUUUUUUGCCACACAGAAUCAGUCCCCUGGUCCGGCAUUUAAGUCAUUUUUGUUUAGCCUGUUCUUGACAGAAUUGUUUUGUGGAAAUAGGGUUAUAGUUGAUGAUAAUUGUUGGAUUAAAGUUGCCCUUCUUGAUAAGUGAUUUAAUAAGAGCAGUUCUGAGCGAACCGUUCAGACAGAGAAACAGAUAGCAAUCAACAGAGGGUGCGGUGCUGUGAAAUUAUUUGCAUGCAGUUACUUAACACACAGAAGUGGAGCUUGGCUGUUGAUUGUUUUUAUGUGAAAUUUCUGAUUCAUCUGAUAAAGGCCAAACAUCUGGAGCAAUGACUGUGCUGAACAAGUAGGGAGGCUUAAGUGAAAGCACCACACUUAUAGUCCAGAUGGAUGUACUCUGUGUCACAAACCUAAAAAUACAGCCUGGAAAAACCCGCCCUUUAAGUUCUGGUCAUCACUUGUUACUUUGCUUAUUCUGUCAUAGAUGGUAAAAUUUGUUGAAGUGGGUAGAAACAAAUUUCUGGAAUACCACUGGAAUAUUUACUGAAAAGUAAUAGUUAUCUUAUUUCUUUGAGUUGUUGCCGGCUUGUUUGGCUCCUGCCAUUUGGUUAAGAGCCUGGAAGUAAAGUGUUAUUGUGUUGUGAAGUACCCUGUUGUUCUCAAUAAAUGGGUGGGAAUGGGAUAUUCAUCGAAUGGCGUUGACUAAGCUGACUCAACACAUAAAAUUGUACCAUUUUGUUGCUAAGUAGUAAUAUGGAAGUGUGAAAAGUUAGAUUGUCUCUUGAACACCCUGAUUUGUUCCUUUUCAUGUGCAGUUGUUUAAAUUUCUGUCACAGUUACACUUAGAGUCUGGACACAGAUCUCUUUGGUUAAAACCAUUUUAAAGCAUUGCACACUUCACUCUUCCUGUUUGCUUUUUGUCAUUACAAUAGUAUCGUAACAUGCAAGUGUAAUCUGGCUGACCCAGAACCCCAGCAUUCAGUCUACUUUUAUCAUGUGUGGUGGUUUGUUAAAUGAAUGUGUAGAACCUGUAAAAUUAUUUUAUCAUUCACGUUCAGUCAUCUGUCUUUACUGUUGUAGUAAAUGAUGUACUGCGUUUUACAUACAGUAGUGUGUUACCACACUCACCAGUGGGUGGCGUAGGAGUCUCUUUUGCUGAAUUCAUGAAAGUAGCUGGUGACCUCAUGAAAGUAGCUGUUGUUGGAGCAGUUUGUCGGAAAAGCUCUUGAUGAUUUGGCUCAUCUGUAUAUGAGAGACAUGCUAACCAGUUACAUGCCAGCAAGAACUCUUCAUCAAUUAGAAAAUAAAAGUGCAAAGCAGCGAGCGCUACCAGGCCUACCCAUGUAUAAUGGUGAAGACUGCUGCUUCUCAUAGAAGAUUUCAGCUGUGCUGGUCACUUGUGUGUCUAUUUGCAUUGAAGACAGCAACUCACAGAUGUUUUUGCAAGUCUGCAACUUAAAAAUUGCAAAAUUCAUACUUCUAAAAUGAACAAUAGUUAACCUUUGUGUGGACUCAGAUUCCAGAAGUACCUGAAGAUAGAAAACCUAUUGUCCUGAAAUCUCUCUAGCACAAGCCCCUGUCUGCCUCACUGCUUUCUACUGUCCUGUUUUCACAGACCAUUGUCUUAUCGCAGGUAUGACUCAGAGCAGUGUUCCCCAGGUGUCUUGAUAACAUCUGAACAAGCGUCUUCUUUGCUGAAACCUCAGCUAUGAAUUAAAUUAUCUAAGGUUCUGAUAGCACAGUUCUGCAACAGUUCUUUCAUUUCUAGAGCGGUUCAUCCAGAGUGCACUGCGUUCAGUUAUGGGCCACCUGUCUGUUAUGCAAUUUAGUGUUUGUUUGGUAAAUUCCUGUGGGAUUAUAUAAAUGUAAUCUUGUAACUAAAACUUGUAAAAGUUCUGUUUCAUACUAGCCGGUUACAAUUUGUGUCUCUGUGAAUGGCUCAUCCAUGUGGUCCUGAUGUGAGAUGUGAUUUUACAUUAAAUGCUUGUGGGGGUCACACUUGGCACAAACAGAACAAAAAUGCAUGACUCAGACAGGAGCAAAUAAUUCAAAAAGUUUAACUUCAGGUUGAGUCAAAAAAAAAAAAAAAAAAAUCAAACAAAGGUACAAGGUCAGUGGGCAGAAGCUGGUCCAAAACUGAAGAAUCAUCAGAAUCAGAAUACUUGACUUAUCCUGGGGGAGAAAAUUGGUCAUUACAGCGUUGCACUUUCUCUUGAAAAAACAAAAUGGAGAAAAGAAAUAGGAAUAAAUAACAAUAAAUAAGAAAUUGCAGCAGUUAGUAAAAAGUGCUGAAUUAGGAUAGCAAUUCACAAAGUGUGGAGUGUUUAAGAAAUAAGCUAUGUGCAAGCAUAGAGAGUAAAAAGUGCAAAAAAACAGUUUGCAACAUUGCACUGUAGGAUAUUGCACGGACUGUAUUGUUGUUUAACAGAUUGUUACACAGUUAACUGAGUAUUGAACAGUGUAGUUUCAGAAACAAUAGUAUUGCAGAUAAAGGUCAUACAUGAAGAAUACUAACAGUAGAAAAGGGUGAAACUCACACCGAUAAAAGACAAACUGGCACAAAUUAAAGUAGAACAUAGAGGCUGUAUUGAAACUGGCUGCUAUUCUCGUGUGUAUUUGCCCAAAAUAUAGUUUGCAGUAUGCGAACAAAUGCAGGAGUUGCAAUAUGCCAAAAAUUCCUGUAUGACAUACUAAUUCAGAAAAAUUUUACAACAUGCAUCAGACAAGUCUCCUUCAUGUACUGUUACCCACAAUGCAAAGUGCCUGAUCAGAGUUUGCAUUAGCAGAACCCUUUUUAUGGGCGAUAUCGGGCUAUAAAAAUCCCCAAAAUUCAAAUCAAACACCAGUCAAUUUUUUUCUGUAUAUGGAUGGACAACACUGUAGCAUUGUUUUCAGUUGACCAGGGUAUGACAUACUUUAGUAAACUGGACGCCAGUGAAACCAGGCCAAGCAUACUACACAAUAAUGGCCGACUGGCAGUCAUACUGUAUACUACUGUCCAACGCAGUAUGUACUGUGCACUGCAUUCAACAGGAAUAUGGAGUAGGUGGUUUUAAAUACAGCCAGAGACUAAAUAAGGUAAAUGAAGACAGUGAGACAUAUGUGAAACACAUUAGGGAGGGGCAGGUAAUCACAGAUUAGGAACACAGGAGGGCAGGAAAUGAAGGAUCUGAAACAAGACACAGGCUGGGUAACAAUAGGUGAAACAAACUGGUCCGAUGCAUACUGUGAAAUUUUCCCGAAUUAGUACGUCAUUCGGGUAUUUGCAUACUGUAAAUUUGGCAUUUUUUUUUUACCAUACUGCAUACUAAAUUUUGGGUAAAUCAGUACGUACUGCUAGAAAAGUAGGCGAAUUCAAAAACGGCCACAGAUGAAUAUCAACACAAAACAGUAAACUCAAGACAUGCUACAUCAAGAUAACAAAAGGUAACUUAAUUGUGGGGAUGUGACCCUGCAGAGAUGGAUUGAUGGAUUUUUUUGAGAAAAAGGGGAAAAAAAAUCAGUUUUAAAAAUGUCGUGGAUACAGCCUAAAGGCAGCCAUAAUCUCAGGCUGGUGUAAUAGUCAGGUCUGCCAUCACAGCCAAGGUCAAAUCCACAUUGGAUAGCUGAGAUUGUCCAUCUUUGGUUUUCUGAUAAAAACAAAUCAUCACCAAGUUGAUACAGGAUGUGAAUAACUCAAAAAAAUGCCCCCCCCCCGAGGAGCAACAAUGUUUGAACUUCCCACAGGGCAUCAUCAAAUCCAAGCUAUUUUGACUUUCUUUAGAACAGAACCAUUUGGUCCAGUUAUCAUCAGAUAAGGUCACAAGGAGUCCAAAAGACAUUGGCGCCUAUUUGCAUGCCUCUUCUUGAGCAGUUCCUAUUAAAUGCUUGACGACAGAUAAACAAAUUUCAAAGCCUUACAAGCACAGUUUACAGAAUACUUAGGAGCAAAAACUUCACAGGAGAUGACGAGUUCAAACAACCUGAUGACAAAACACUUUUAAACCUCUUUGGUCUAUCGUGCAGGUCUAAUGUGGGGGUGAUAAAGUCACACCAUCCAUACAUGUUGAUUUAUGAGGACUUGACGCCCAACCCUUUCAUCUCUGAACUUUGAGGUUGCUUUACCAGCUCCAGAAAAGUUUGUGGAGGAAGACGUCUUUAUGUUAAACAAUAAUGUGCAGAACUCUAAAGGUUAAAUCAAACAAAAGACAAAGCAUGAAAGUCCAACAAUUUUUUUUUCUGAAAUAGAAAAUGUCCAGCUGAAAAAAUACAAAUCCAAAAAACUCCAAAAUCAAAAAGAAACACUAGAAACAAGGAAGAACAGGGGAGCACUGGAAAUACACAAGAUGUCCAAUCAUUGACAAUGAACAAUGAAACAACAAAGAGGGAAGGCAACACAGGGACUAAAUACGCUGGGUAACAAGCAACAAGAGACAGGUGAGACACGAACACACAGGUGCAGACACUCACUGAGGAGGGAAAACACAGGAAGUAAAACUUAACAACAGGGAACAGGAACACCAGGAAAAGUAUAACUAAAUUAAGAAACCAGGAAAAACUAAAUGAAGGAGAAGAUUUUAUGACAAAGACAUGUAUGCAGCUACGUUUCCAGUGUUGUAAAUGAACAAACUGAACAGUUCUGGAGUCAGAGCAAAAUACCCCGAAUAUGUAUGCUUUGUACAGACAACCUGAAACAGUGUUAGAGAAAAACUUUUUAAUGGAAAUGCUUAGCGGACACUCUACACUUUUGUUACACCAUUGUGUGAACUGAAAAGAACUGAAAGAAUUUGGAAGUACAACAUGUGUUUUGUCUUAAGAUCUGUGUGACUGAAAGAACCUUUUUGUUUCAGAAUCUGUCACAUCGCUUGCCACUAUCAUCUCAUCACCAGAAAGGUUUGCAGAAGGAGACUGGAGAUUUGAGCAAAAUAAAGAAUAACAUGUGAAUCAGCCCAUGCCUUUCUCUCUUGCAGUCUGAAGAUGUGGUUUUGUUUAGAUUGGUCUCUGUGAUGGUGCUAAGUUUGCCAGAUAUAGUUAUUGGUUAUUUAAAGGGAUAUUCCGGCGUAAAAAUGAAUUUAUGGUCAAACGCACCGUAACUCUGAGUUAGACACCCCCUCGAGAGAUGAAUGUUGCCGACCGCUUACUUCUCUAGUUAUACCAACUUUAGUAACGACUGCAGGAUAGCAACACAGAGAGCCACAUGCUCAACCAAAACGCCACUCUAGAGCCACAAAUAAUGCUCAGAACAGCACCUAACUUCAUCAACAGUAUAUAUAGGAUCCUAGCCACCAAACAUCUUUUUAACUUUUCCUGAUUUCUUUAGCAAAGAGACUAAACACAACUCACCCACUGUCUUCCAGCAGACGCUUGUUUGAAGUGAGACCUCAAACAUCGCAGUCCAUGCGUUUCAUUUUUUUCAUUUCUGCUGCUGAAUCAUGAUGUUUAUCCUCAGUUGUGGGGUACUUUGAAAUUAUUUCCUUCAAAAGCAUCUUCUCACUUUCACUAAGGUUUUUGGAACGCUUUCUUUUCCUUUUCUUCAUGCUUGAUCAUUGGUCAAACUCCUGUUCCACACGCACACAGCUAAAAUUUAUUCUACAUUUGGAAACUGGGCCCCAGUUUCCAAAUGUAAGCCGAGGGAGGCUUUGAAAGAUCAGACUGAGGAAGCCAACAAAGAGGAUUCUGGUUUUGAUUCAAAGGGAAAGACAAAGUGAGACCUUUUGUGAGACACUUUCACUUUUAGUUUACAAGCAUAGGUCUUGGAGAUGUUGAACCAGUUCUGGUUGGGAUCAAUAGGAAUGUUACCAACACAAGUAGAGAAAUGAUUGCUCAAUGCUAAGUAAACAGUUGAGUUCUGGGUAAUCACGAGCAAAACCAUCCAGGCUGGGGCUGCUGUUGUUGUGCGGAUCGAAAAGAACGGUUAGUGCGGAUGAAAAUCAGGUUGGGGCUUGCUGUUUACCGGACUGGAAAGAGGUGUGGAUUUUUUAAUACAUGAUUCACUGACAAGGUGCUAACAUAUAUGAUUGUCAGUCUGUAACUUAGAUUUGUACUUUUCCACUGAAAACAAACUGUGAGUAAUACAAUUUAACACGUGUUUUCAUUUAACCACAGGUUCACUUUGACGUCUACCUCGAUGAGGAGCAACCUGAUGUGCCUCAAGGCUCUCUUUGUUCUGUUGGACAGGUUUAAGCAGCGAACUGAGCACCUGCUUACAGCCCCAUGGCCAGAAGGGUGCCACCAGGAGCAAUCAAAAAACAAUAAUAAUAAUAAUUUCUUGCAUGUAUUAUUGAUGCUCUCUGUAUGAU
Molecule: non-coding RNA, 9603 nt
Organism: Xyrichtys novacula (pearly razorfish)
Lineage: Eukaryota; Metazoa; Chordata; Actinopteri; Labriformes; Labridae
Source: the annotation of a GenBank genome assembly